Molecule: ribosomal RNA, 468 nt
Filed under: uncultured bacterium
Lineage: Bacteria
Description: partial 16S ribosomal RNA
Rfam family: Bacterial small subunit ribosomal RNA
Source: RNAcentral
GACGAACGCUGGCGGCGUGCUUAACACAUGCAAGUCGAACGGAAAGGCCCUGCUUUUGUGGGGUGCUCGAGUGGCGAACGGGUGAGUAACACGUGAGUAACCUGCCCUUGACUUUGGGAUAACUUCAGGAAACUGGGGCUAAUACCGGAUAGGAGCUCCUGCUGCAUGGUGGGGGUUGGAAAGUUUCGGCGGUUGGGGAUGGACUCGCGGCUUAUCAGCUUGUUGGUGGGGUAGUGGCUUACCAAGGCUUUGACGGGUAGCCGGCCUGAGAGGGUGACCGGCCACAUUAGGACUGAGAUACGGACCAGAGUCCUACGUGAGGCAGCAGUGGGGAAUAUUGCACAAUGGGCGGAAGCCUGAUGCAGCAACGCCGCGUGCGGGAUGACGGCCUUCGGGUUGUAAACCGCUUUCGCCUGUGACGAAGCGUGAGUGACGGUAAUGGGUAAAGAAGCACCGGCUAACUACGUG